GGAGUGGUUGGAUGAGGGAAGUAAUUUUGUGAGCUGGAAUUGAGGGUGACAGAAUGGGGGAGUAAUUUUUGGAGGUGCAUGGGCUGGACUUGGUGUUGAUGGCAUGGGGGAGGCAUUUUUGGGGCUGGAUUUGGCGUUGCGGAGUGGGAGGAAGCAUUUUGGGGGUCUCUGGGUGGGUGUGGAGUGGGGUUGGGAUGAGGGGAGUCACUCUGGGGAGUCCAAGGGAUGGACUUGGGCAUGGUGGGGUGAGCAUCCCCAACCUGGCAUCCCUAUCUUAAGGGGUCCCCAAUUUUUGGGGCUCCAAAUCCCCAGUGUGCCCUUGUCCGUCCAAGGCUCCCAUUUUUUGGGGUGCCCACCCUAGGGGUCCCAAUUUUUUGGAUUCUCCUGCCCAUCCAGGGGUUACCAACUUGUGGGGUCCCACCUCCCUGGGAAACCCCUGCCCAUCCAGGGGUCCUAAGUUUUUGGGUUCUCCUGCACACCCAGGGGGUCUCCACCCAGUAAGUGCCCAUGUCAGCCCCUCGCAGCCCCCACCUCUGCCGGUGCCAGGGGGACAGGUGCCCCGUCACCCCCGUGCCUCUGGCACAGGCGGGACCGGAGGUGUUUCCAUAGCGCCCUGGCCGCGUUUCCCCUGCACCCCCCAGCGCACCUUGGGGACCCCCUGAUCUCCUCUUUGUCACGCACUCAGUGCAGGGGGUGCAGUGGCACCGCAGGACCCCAUUUCUGUGACAUCCCCGAGGUGGCACUUGCCGUUUUUGUCACCACCACCCGCCAAUUUUUCACCAGCGACCCAAAGCGGGGUGUGGCCCACAUCCCACAAGGGGGAGUGACAGCAUUUUUGGGGUCCUCCUCGCCACUUCCACGCUCCCGCAUCACCCCGACGAUGCUGCGAGAUCUCACAUCCCCCGCGCUUUCCCGGCCGCAGCAUCCCCCGAGGGGACUUUUGGGACUGUCCCCGCGUCUCCGCCCGCCGCAGUGCCUCCGCUGCUGCGCCCGCGCUCGGCCCUGGUUCCUGUCACGGCUUCCCCAUGUGACCGGGCAGGAGACUCAGUCACGCCCUCACCUCCUCCUUCUCCUCCGCCUCUGCCGCAGGAGGUGAUUCUGCUGCUCCCGCUGGGGAAAAGCUGGGGGCACCGCGGGUCACCUCUUGAAGAGAUUGUGGGGUUGCGGUGGCUCCUGGAGUCCCUCCGAAAUGACAGCUGGAGCUGCCGGGAUGCUGCAGUUUCAGGGGUUUCAAAGAGAUGUAGAGAAAUGAAAAGAAAAUCAAGGCCAAAACAAAAGGAUGUACAUGUCUGUGCUGGCUGAGCAUCCAUGCACUUUAGGUGAAUGGGAAGAACCUUUUUUGGAAGAGUUUCCACCCCACUGUCUCCAAAAUCGUGUGUUUUGCCCCAGUCCUUCCCCAUUUGGCUGUGGAGGAUGGCUGUGGGCCAGAGAGAAUUAAAACGAUGGAUUUAUGUUGGAGAAGACCUCCAAGGCCAUGCAGUGUUGCUUGAUGCCAUCAGAAGGUGCAAAAGGUGAGAUUUUUCUGGGGUCAGAAGUCAACAAAUCAGCUCUCCACAAUAGAUUUCUGAUGUUGGUCUGUGGAUGUGUCCAGGCGCCCACAGUGAGCCGGGAGAAUGUGGAGCUCCCCAGCCAGGUGUCUUCCCAACACAGAUCACCAGCACCAUGGAUCACUAGGGCUCUGCCCAAUGGGAGUCACUGAGGGUCAUCCAAGACCAAUCCUCCCAUGGGGGAUGAAGCUGGAGCAGCACAUGAAGCUUUUCUGCACUCAGGGCACUCACAGGGCUUCUGACUCCACUGGUGUUGGAUCAAGGCUGAGCUUGCCUGAAGCUCUUGCCACACUCAGGACACUCGUAGGGCCUGUGACAUCACAGGGAGCAGGGCUGUGAUGUUCUCAAGUGCUGGUGACAUCACAAGGAGCAGGGCUGUGAUUUGUUUGGUGCCUAUGAAAUCCCAAGGGCAGUGUCACAGAGGGGGCACCUCUCCAUGUCCCCAGCAGGUCAUGCUGUCCAGUGCAGCCCGUGCCAGCAGUCACUGUGCACACGGGAGAGGCUGGGCUGGACAGGGGUCAGGGCAGAAACUCUGCCCCCGGGACUGGGCUCUCCCCCUGCCUCUGGAGCCCAGGCCCUGGUGGGAGCACCUUGGGCAGGGCACGGGGUUGCUGCUGGGCCAGGGGGACAGGCCUUGCCCCCUGCCAGCUGCCUGGGCCCCUCUGAUGCCUGUCCCACAUCCCUGUGCCUCCUGUGCCUGCUGCUCCCCACCACCUUCACUCCCUCCAUCAAAGCCCCACUCAACCUCUUCACUGUGACCUCUGGAAAGAAAGAAAGAAUGAACAAAAAGAAGUAUAGUUGGUUGACCCUGGCUGGAUGCUGGGCACCCACCAAAGCUGCUCUCUCACUCCCCUCCAGAGAUGGACAGAAGAGAGAAAAUAAAAUAGAAGGCUUCCUGGGUUGAGAUAAGGACUGGGAGAGAUCACUCAGCAAAUACCAUCAUGGGCAAAACACAUUCAAAAUUAGAGACAUUAAUUGAAUUUACUGCUAUCAAAAUCAGAGCAGGAUAGUGAGAAGUAAAAUAAAGCUUUAAAAACACCUUCUGCCCAUCCCUCCCUCCUUGCCAGCUCAACCUCCUCCCCCAGUGGGUGCAGGGAGACAGGGAAUGGGAGUUCUGGUUUGUUCAUCACAUUUUGUUUCUCUUGCUGCUCAGGGAGAGGAGUCGUUCCCCUGCUGUGCCAGGGGUCCCUCUCAGAGACGCUUCUCCAUGAACUUCUCCAGCAUAAGUUCAUCUCAGGGACAGUUCUUCACAAACUGCUGCAACGUGGGUCACUCCUCCAUGGGCUCACAAGUCCUACCAGGACCCUGCUGCAGCAUGGGUUCCUCUCCAUGGGUUUGCAGGUCCCUGCCAGUUCCCUCCUCCAGCACAGGUUUCUCAUGGGGUCACAGCCUGCACUCAGGCAGGCAUCCCCCUGCUCUGGCACGGGCUCCUGCAGGCGCUGCAGGUGCAUCUCUGCACUCCAUGCCCUCCAUGGGCUGCAGGGGCCCAGCUGCCUCAGCACGGACUGCACCACACAAUCUCAGGAAAAUCACCUCCAGCACCUGGAGCAUCUUCUGCCCCUCCUCCUGCCCUGCCCUGGGUAUGUGCAGAGUUGUUCCUCUCACUUGUUCUCACACUGCUCUUCCCUGGUCACAGUUACAACUACAUGAUAACCAAUUUUCUUAAAUCUGUUAUCCCAAAGGCAUUAGCACCAUUUCUAACUGGCCCAGCCUUGGCCAGCAGCCAGUCUAUCCUGGAGCUGGCUGGCAUUGCUGUUGGUUGGUGGGACAUGGACGAGCAGCGGCUUCCAGCAGCCUCUCACAGAAGGCGCUCCUAGAGCCCCUCCCUUACCAUGCAAACUUAGUAUAAGUAUGGUUUUUAUUACAAUUAUUAAUUUUAUUAUUGCUAUUGUUGCUAUUAAUGUUACAGUUAUUAUUAUUACUAUUUUUGGGUUUUUUUGACUCUAUAUUAAUAGUGGCUAUAGUAGAACUUGAACUAAGUUCUUAAUUGCAAAUAGAAGUUAUAAUUUUGGCAGCUGUUUGCCCUGCCCUGCCCUGUGUCACCACUCUGUGUGAAGCUGCCAGGGCUCCCUAUUUCCCUGGUUUGGGAAAUUCAAUGGCAUUGCUCACAUCAGAAAGAGAGGGCUCAUUCCAGUCAAAUGUAUUGCCUGAGCUCUUCUAGUCCCAGUGUUUGAAGCUUGUUUUCUAAUGUUACUGACUUUCUCAGCUUCUGUUAAUAUUUGUGAUUUUGUAACAAAAUGUUCUCAGAUGUGAUUUUGCAAGAUUGUGAAAUCCGCUUUCUGUUUUACUGUUGGAUUUCAUAAUGGUGUGUCAGGACUGAAUACAGCAUUUUGGGUGGGAACCCUUCAGUCUGAGACAGAUUUGUCUCAGCAGCAGCUGGUUUUGCACAUCUAAGCAGAGAUAACAAAGAUUCCAUGGACUGAAUAUUCUGUCUUGUUGCGGAACCCCCAGUGCUGGGCUCGAGGGAGGUGGGGGUUGUGCCGGGGGUCGGGAAUGGCCCGAGCUUCCGGCAAGGGGCCGGCAAUGGACAUUGCCCCUUUGCUGAGCAGGGGCUUGGGGCCUGGCGGCCGGUGCCCGGUCAGCCCGGGACUCUGCGGGAGCCGGGAACAGCGAGAGAGCCAAACAUCAGCACCCCGCCCUUGUUCAGUACCAAGCUGGGCUUGGGGCUGCAGGAGAAAGAGGCGAUGGGAAAUAGAUCCUGAAGGUGAGACAGGGCUUGGGGUCAGGGCAAGGUCCUACCCUGCACACCUGGCUCAGCUGUGACUCUGCCCCGGGAAAGGAGGGGCACAUUCCCAUCCCCACGGAUCCUAUCACGAAAAUCCCACUCUUGGGAUCCCUCAUCCGUCUUUGCAGUCCCUCCAACAUCUCCAGGCCUCUGGGAAGAGCCCAAAGGGAUGGAAUUUCUUACCCAAGGGGACCACCAAGCCUCAGUUUGGAUCUGCAGUCCCAAAUUUUCUCAGUUUCCCUCCCCUUUUCCGCGGGCCGGGUUCCCCCCGCCCCCAGCGGCUAGGAGUAGCCGAGAGCCCCCGCGGUGCCCAUCCGGACGUGUCCCGGUUCCAUCCUCGCUCCUCCCGCGGGCUGCCAGGGCUUCAGGGAGCGGAGGAGGAAGAGUGGGGAUGGUAGAGCAGUGAUGAAGUUGCAUCGGGAGAAGGGCUGAGGGGAUUAAGAGAAGGAGGAGGGGUGGAGGAUGAACAGGAAAAGGAGCAGGUGGGAGUGGGAGGAAGACACUCCCGGAACAGAGGAGGAGGAGGAGCAGGAACUGGAAGCGGAGAGGCCACUGUCCAACCCUCAUUGUGUCCACAGCCCUCCUGCCCCGUGGGGCAUUGUUCCACCUCCAUCUCGCAGGAUUUCCUUUUCUCAAACCUUGGCCAGAGCAAGGAGGAGGAGGCUUCAAGGAAGAGGAAGAUGCCCUGGGACACCCAGGCAGCAGUCUGUUGCAUUUGUGACAUGGAUCAUCUGAAUUCCCAAGAGGGAAAAGACUAAUGAGGAGUAAUAGGAGUCCAGUUUACCCCCAUCUUCAAAACCUUAUGGGACUGCUGCCCACAGCAUUGACUGGCACUUUAAGAGUAGAGCGAGCAGAGAAGAGAGGGAGAGGGUGUGAUAGCGCCCUCUGCCCUCAGGGGAGACCUGCUCUUGGAACCUCGGCCCCUGGAGAAAAAGGGGGAGAGCUCGGCAUGCAAGGAUCUUUAAAAGAGCCCUGUAUGCAGCUUCAGCCUAUAGACAGCGGUGAGAGCGCUAGAUAUAAGAAAAAGAGAGUGUCACCCUGGCAGACUUCUCCAGGCGGUGCCACGGGUGACAUAGAAACCCAUAAAGAGUGAACCUGUGUUUUCUGAAGAGCAGUCUGUGGUGCGAGAGAGACUCCUCUCUCCCUUGAUGAAUUGAAGAUUAGUUUUUUAAAGUAGUGAUUGUUUGAUUUAAAACCCAAAGGUUUGGUCUAUAGAGAGUAAUGUGUGGGGGGUAGAAACUGGGAGAAGAAAAGAAAUGUUCUGAGAAGUUUUUAUUUCUGUCUCUGUGUGUGUUUAAGAGUUUUCUGUCUCUGUUCUUAUGUAAUGUAAUAAAGUUUUAAGUUUUUUUUGUUUUCAAGAUUUAAGCCUGCUCUGCUCUGUUCCUGAUCACAUCCCACAGUAGUUGUUAGAGAAAAAACAUAUAUUCAUGGGUGCAUUAACAUCUGGCCAGUGCUAACCCAUGACACAGGCCCAGGAUGGUGUUCUGGGCAGCAGCGUGAGGCACGGGGUAGGUUUCCAACCAUCCAGUGGUGGCUUCCACCAUGGUCAGCACGUAGCGCUUGCCUUGGCAGGUUUGGGAAAGGGUGAUGUAGUCAGUUUGCCAGGCUUCCCCAUACCUGUGUUUGGACUACCGCCCGCCAUACCAUAGGGGCUUCACUCGCUUGGCUGUUUGAUUGCAAUGCAAGUCUCACAGUUGUGGAUGACCUGUGAAAUGUUGUCUCUUUUGUUUACUUCUCUCAGAUCUUGGACAAACUUGUAUGUCCUAUUUUAUUUUUUUUACUGGUAACAUGGGAGUAUUAUGGGGAGACCUGCACAGUUCUAAAGUUCCAUCUUUAA
Molecule: long non-coding RNA, 6109 nt
Organism: Prinia subflava (tawny-flanked prinia)
Lineage: Eukaryota; Metazoa; Chordata; Aves; Passeriformes; Cisticolidae
Exons: 5
Source: RefSeq, a predicted model, not a curated record